AUUGAACGCUGGCGGAAUGCUUUACACAUGCAAGUCGAACGGCAGCACGGGGCAACCUGGUGGCGAGUGGCGAACGGGUGAGUAAUACAUCGGAACGUGCCCAAUCGUGGGGGAUAACGUAGCGAAAGUUACGCUAAUACCGCAUACGAUCUACGGAUGAAAGCGGGGGAUCGCAAGACCUCGCGCGAAUGGAGCGGCCGAUGUCAGAUUAGGUAGUUGGUGGGGUAAAGGCUCACCAAGCCAACGAUCUGUAGCUGGUCUGAGAGGACGACCAGCCACACUGGAACUGAGACACGGUCCAGACUCCUACGGGAGGCAGCAGUGGGGAAUUUUGGACAAUGGGCGCAAGCCUGAUCCAGCCAUUCCGCGUGCAGGAUGAAGGCCUUCGGGUUGUAAACUGCUUUUGUACGGACGAAACGGACGAGCUCUAAUACAGUUUGCUAAUGACGGUACCGUAACGAAUAAGCACCGGCGUAACUACGUGCCAGCAGCCGCGGUAAAC
RNAcentral lists this ribosomal RNA (502 nucleotides) under uncultured bacterium. RNAcentral describes it as "bacterial SSU rRNA". It matches the Rfam family "Bacterial small subunit ribosomal RNA", at positions 30 to 525 of the family's 1533-position model. The record is from RNAcentral.